This is a ribosomal RNA of Nomascus leucogenys (northern white-cheeked gibbon), 108 nucleotides long. NCBI's taxonomy places the organism in Eukaryota, Metazoa, Chordata, Mammalia, Primates, Hylobatidae. The record is from Ensembl.
AUAGUCUACCAUAGCACUCUGAACACACCUGAUCUUGUCUGAUCUCAGAACCUACGCAGGGUUUGGCCUGGUUAGCACUUGGAUGAAAGAGUUAUCAUACACACUUCA